GUUCUUUGUUUUUUAUUAUUAUUGUCUUUUAUUUUUGUUUGUUUGGGUUUGAUUAUUUAGUGAUUGUCUGCCUCCUAUUAUUGCUCAUCAAAUUGCAGAAAGAAAUCCAAAUUUGUCAGAGCUACCAACAACAGUUAUGCGAUGCAUUGGCUGUUCUCAGAGGAAAUAUUGAGAAGUAUUACAACAUAAAUACAGAAGACACAGAAUGUUCACCAGGAAAGCUUUUGAGGCUUUUACGUAACAAACUGCAUGAGAAGGAGUCCAUAAUUAAAAAUCUGGAAAGAAGACUGCAGGAAUGUCAAGAAAAAGGAAGGGCUAAAAUGGUUGUCUUUGAAGAUGAUGACCAUGAAAAAAAAAAGUCUGAAAAGGAGAGAGAGGAUUUCAGUGAAGAGGUUUUUAAACCGGGCAACGAGAUUUCUCGUCUUGAAAAUUCUCUGAAACAGUCUGAAAAAGAAAAAUAUGUAUUAGGUUAAAGUUUAAACUGCUGUUAGAUCAAGAUGAUCAGCUUAAAUGCAACAUGUAAGAAAUGUUACUAAAG
This 538-nucleotide long non-coding RNA is filed under the name Anser brachyrhynchus (Pink-footed goose). Its description in RNAcentral is "lncRNA (ENSABRG00000003418.1)". Lineage: Eukaryota; Metazoa; Chordata; Aves; Anseriformes; Anatidae. The record is from RNAcentral.